Molecule: ribosomal RNA, 724 nt
Filed under: Cora sp. Dal Forno 2440
Lineage: Eukaryota; Fungi; Basidiomycota; Agaricomycetes; Agaricales; Hygrophoraceae
Description: eukaryotic LSU rRNA
Rfam family: 5.8S ribosomal RNA (bases 267-420)
Source: RNAcentral
GGAAGUAAAAGUCGUAACAAGGUUUCCGUAGGUGAACCUGCGGAAGGAUCAUUAACGAACUCUGGGAGAACACGGUUGCUGCUGGGCUUCCUUGGAAGUCAUCGUGCACACGGUCUCUCUUCUCGUUCAACCAAUCUACCCCUAUUCUGUGCACCCCUCGUGAGCUGAGAUCUCUGAGCUCAUGUCUUUUACCAUGAAACAACCCCAUCUUAUUCAAGCGAAUGACAGCCCGUCCGAGCCUCGUCUCGACGGAAGGAGAAAUACACAACUUUCAACAACGGAUCUCUUGGCUCUCGCAUCGAUGAAGAACGCAGCGAAAUGCGAUAAGUAAUGUGAAUUGCAGAAUUCAGUGAAUCAUCGAAUCUUUGAACGCACCUUGCGCCCCUUGGUACUCCGGGGGGCAUGCCUGUUUGAGUGUCAUCUGCCCAUCAACCCGAAAAAGGCUCUCGAGCCCAUCGGUGCUUGGAGCUUGCGGCGUGCGGGAAGGAGGCUCUCGCGGAGCCUCCCCUCCGCUCCUCGCUGAAUACAUCAGCGGAUGUCCCACUUGCGGGACCGGCCUUGACGUGAUAAAUGUCUACGUCCUGGCUCGGGUCGCAUACCCUUUUGGCUUCUGCUUCGAAACGGUCGCUGCCUCGCUUUGGCGGGGGGACAGCCCAAUUGACAACUUUGGCCUCAAAUCAGGUAGGAUUACCCGCUGAACUUAAGCAUAUCAAUAAGCGGAGGA